GACGAACGCUGGCGGCGUGCCUAAUACAUGCAAGUUGAGCGCUGAAGGUUGGUACUUGUACCAACUGGGUGAGCAGCGAACGGGUGAGUAACGCGUGGGGAAUCUGCCUUUGAGCGGGGGACAACAUGUGGAAACGAAUGCUAAUACCGCAUAAAAACUUUAAACACAAGGUGGAAGUUAGAAAGAUGCAAUUGCAUCACUCAAAGAUGAUCCCGCGUUGUAUUAGCUAGUUAGUGAGGUAAAGGCUCACGAAGGCGAGGAUACAUAGCCGAACUGAUAGGGUGGUCGGCCACCCUGGGACUGAGACACGGCACAAACGCCUACGGGAGGCAGCAGUAGGGAAUCUUGGGGCAGGGACGAAAGUCUGAGCGAGAAACGCCGCGUGAGGGAAGAAGGUCUCCGGAUCGUAAAACUCUGUUGGUAGAGAGGAAAGUUCGUGAGACUGGAAAGCUGAGCAAGUGACGGUAACUACCCAGAAAGCGACGGCUAACUACGUG
This 497-nucleotide ribosomal RNA is filed under the name uncultured bacterium. RNAcentral's name for it is "partial 16S ribosomal RNA". It matches the Rfam family "Bacterial small subunit ribosomal RNA", at positions 28 to 507 of the family's 1533-position model. The record is from RNAcentral.